AUACCUUCGGGUAUGAGUGGCAAACGGGUGAGUAACACGUGGGAACUCGCCCUCCGGUGGGGAAUAACUCUGCGAAAGCAGAGCUAAUACCGCAUAUGGUCGCAAGACUAAAGCCUUGUGCGCCGGGGGAGAGGCCCGCGUCCGAUUAUUUGGUUGGUGGGGUAACGGCCUACCAAGACGGUGAUCGGUAGCUGGUCUGAGAGGAUGGUCACCCACACUGGGACUGCGAACGGCCCAGACUCCUACGGGAGGCAGCAGUUAGGAAUUUUCGGCAAUGGGCGCAAGCCUGACCGAGUGACGCCGCGUGCGGGAUGAAGCCUUUCGGGGUGUAAACCGCUUUUAUGAGGGAAGAUAAUGAC
Molecule: ribosomal RNA, 359 nt
Filed under: uncultured bacterium
Lineage: Bacteria
Description: bacterial SSU rRNA
Rfam family: Bacterial small subunit ribosomal RNA
Source: RNAcentral